This 4350-nucleotide small RNA is filed under the name Rattus norvegicus (Norway rat). Its description in RNAcentral is "uncharacterized LOC108351669". Lineage: Eukaryota; Metazoa; Chordata; Mammalia; Rodentia; Muridae. The record is from RNAcentral.
AGAUAGAACACUUAAAAAUAUCUGUUUCUAUGCUGAGGGCUCUCUUUUCAGCGCUCUCUCUCUCUCUCUCUCUCUCUCUCUCUCUCUUUAAUCUUUUCACUUUGUCAUGGUAUCUUUCACAGCACAAAAGUUUUUAAUUCUCAUAAAAUCCAACUUAAUUUUUCUGUUGUUGCUAACGAUUUUUGUGUUGGAUACAGGAAGGCCUUUUCUAAUCCUAAGUCAAAAAUAUUUACUUCUGUUUUCUUCUAAGGCUUCUGUGAUUUUAGUUCUUAUGUAGAUUUGUGAUUUGUUUUGAGUUAUUUUUUGCAUAUAAGAGCCAAGAAAGCUAUAUAGGCUCAAUAAACACCUUUUUCCAGCUGCAGUUCUUCUUGACUUAUUUGAACCCAUCCGGACAGCUCAAAGGGAGGUAUGAAGUGAACUUAAGCAAGGUAUAGACACUUAGCAGAAAUCGCCUCUGGAGAGAAGACACUCGUGUUCCUUCUCGGGUAUGUCAGUAUCUGAUUUUGAUGUCAGUGCUUUUGAAAGUGCCUGACUGUGCCAAGACAGAAUCUACAUGUUGAAAGCGGCUCCACUGGGUAUGAAAGAGGUUAUACAGAAAAGCAGUUGCCCCAUGCAAUAAUCAAGUUAGAAAAGGGCAGGUCUAAGGAAGCCAUCUAAUUGGCAAAAGAAAGUCCAGCCCAGCAAUUACAGAACACCACCCACACAGCUUGGAUCUACCCCACCUGGCUGUUUCCCUACAGCAUGAAAAAAAAAAAAGUCAAAACAAUCAGACCAUUUUCUAAAUGGAAUAAAACAUUCCAGUGCAAGCAAUAAUUAGGAGAUAACUACCCUCCUGGCUGCUUUCCGCAUCGACCUCUGGCCCCCUGCCUCCCAGCGCACCUGAGACAUGCAAUUAAAUCACACCCGUCCUGCGCUAGGAUUGCACACUCGAGAGCACCCUGCAGCCUCUCCGGGGGUUUGUUUCCCCACUGACUCCUAGAGACAGGUUGUUCCUUAGUCCAGAGAGGUCAGGCAACCCACUAGGCAUGAGGCCAUGUGCUUCUCUCUGUCUCUCACAAAGCACCCAGAAUACUGUACUGCAUUGGCUGCAUUUAUCCGGAGUCCACCUCCGUACCCUAAAUCUAGGCAUCUGAAUAUAGACGAAGAUGUCAAGAUGGCUCUUCUUGCUUUCUUCCUGAGGUAGUCAGAUGGGGUUCAGGCACCUCAGAGAGAAUAGGAUGACAGGAAGCGGUUGACAGAAAGUGUUUGCAGGCAUCGAAGCAAGCCAAGGGUAGAGUUGGAGUUAAAUGUAAGAGUCCAAACUUCUCGAAUCUAGCAUUCGCACCAGCAUUACAUUCUGCUGAAUGCACAGGAUCGAGUAAGACAUGCCACUGGUCUUACUGCUUCCUAUGCGUCCACGCUCACCCACUAGAAGCCAGGUCCCUCUCCCCUCCCUCCUCCAGCACAGUUGGGACCAUGGAAUUGAUGAUGCUGAGAAAAAAAAUGUCUGGACUCUCCUCCAUGAAUCUUUCCUACAGCAUUGCCAUUCUCAUUAGCUGUUUGUCCCAGUCUGAUGACCCCAUGUCCCAUUAGGCCUCAAACUGUGUCCCAGAGCUGAAUCAGGGGACCAAGUACUCAGGACUCCCCUCAACCAAGAGAGAAGCUUGAGGGGUCUUAGAAGCCUGUAGAAUUCACUUUUGCCUUCCUAUCAUGGCUUCGACAAGCUCAGAUUCUUUGAAAACAUGGAUUGUGUCGACAACAAACACUAAAAACCACGAUGGCUAACCUCCCUUGUCUGCGUCCCAUGUGGCGAACACUAGCCUAGGUAUUUUAGAGAUGUUACCUCAGAUAGCAGAACUCUGCGAAGUAGAUGUGAGACUUUACCAAGGAGACACACAGUAACCUGUCCAGGGUCAUAACCGGUAACAGUUUCACUGAACUGUUCACUCUGGAGACAAUUCAAAAGCAAGUGGCACCUGUGUGUGACACUAUAGUCUUCCCACAUUGCAGUGUAUGGUCGGUCCGCUUUCAGAAGGGAACUGGGUGUUAACACUGCAGACCACUAACAAAUGAGACAUUUUCAGCCAGAUAUAAAUGCUGUGGAUCCCCAGAAAUGGAAUAUGGGAUAAGCAUCCCAGCUAAUGUGCAAAAUUAAAUUUACUCAACCCGCUAUAGGUUACACAUGCUGACCAGUCAAAACUAGUUAGAGAUCCUAUCUGGCUCUUGGCAGCUUUGUCCUUGGCAGCCUUGAGAGUGAGUCUGAGAAUCAAAUGCUAAUCUUUUUCCAGUUCCAAUUAGGUUACUUGCCUUGAGACAUCUUUAUUACCCAAUUAUCUUUUUCUUUCCUUCUCAGUACCUGAAGAGAUAGCCUUGAAAGAGUUUUAGCGGGGAAAUAUAUGAGGCAAUCUGGAGCUCAACAAUGCCCUGCUGUUCUGAGGGAGUCUGAACUCCACACUUACAACUGCGCACCAUGCCUUGUGUGUGGCUUCCACCAUUCUGAAGUUCCUUCUGCCCCUUCUUUCUGCCCAAAGCCCAUUCCCCACCAUCACUGGACACGUUGCCAUCCAUCCCACUGAAACCAGUUUACGGACGCCUCUUCCACAAAGCCUUCCCUCCUCUUCUCUGCUCCUGAAGCGGUAUGUCAGCCCUUCCAUGGUUGCUUUGAUUACUCUGUUUAACCUAGCUUUCAGGUCUGUCUCAGUGACUCAACUGAAAGUAUUUUUAUGUUCUGUGUGUUUUAAUUAGUCUUUUUAAUUAGCAUAUAAAACGUUAACUUCAUUAAGCAUUCUCAAACAUCAUUUGUUUGUGAUGGCUUUCCUGCCUUCCUCCCUCUCUGCCUCCCUUUGCACUCCUUAUCUCACCCUUCCUGCCCCUUCAACAUCCCUUUCUGCUCUCACGGGCCUUUUGGGUUUUGUCCCUUACACUCAUACUCACAGCCACCACAUGGAAAUGCAAGUACCUCAAAACGUUUUUAAGGUUCAACUUGUCACUCCAACCCUAUUACCUGAUACGAAAUAACUGGCUGUUCCUAACAUGAACUGAACUAAAAGCUUGGUUCUCUUCUCUCCUGAAGGGAUCUGAAUUGGCCCAGAAUGUUCUCUGAUGUUAAAGCUGCUGAGUUCCUUCCAUUUUUGAAGCACAUGGCUGAAAACAUCAUCUACAACUGUGCUGGCAGUGGAGUGGCUAAUAAAAAUCAGGUGAUGUCACAGUUCAGAGUGCACAUGUUUGUCCCACAGGGGGACUGGGUGGUGCUGGCCAAGAGGACGGGUUGUCAGUUCGUUAUUCGUAUGACUCAUGCAAAGAUUGCUGAUAACCAAUUUAAACAAUACUCUGCUGCUCUGGAGACAUUGAUUACCACAAUGAUGAUUGAUGAGGAAAGAGAAAGGUGGUGGGACGAAAAAGAAAAAGGACCCAAGGGGAGUGCCCCAGAUGGGCAGGGAGGGGCUCUCAGAGGAAUGGCCCAGCACCUCUCACUCCCCGAACUCAGUUCCCUUAGUGAACAACAUCCACCCCCAAUUUCCACAAGUCCCAUAUGUGUAGAGCCUUAUAGAAUUUUCAGAAUGACUCAAUUUAUCUGAAUCUCGUUAUCCUUCAGUUUUAACUUCUGUCUGCAGCUGUCUUCGUUCCUGCAACUCUGAACUCUUUGAGGGGUUGAUCUCGAACUAAAUAACCGAAUCAUUCUGCAUGCCCUUCCUGGGCCUUCUUUCUCCACCUUCAGAACAAAUUCCACUAGAAGCACGGGUUAUGUUUUAUUCUCGUCCCUGUGCUGCCUACGACAGGGAUGGCUAGCAGAGGAGCAGCAGUGACUCUGCAGUUUAGACGUGAAGUGGGUCCAUAGCAUCCUCUCUAAAUGGAAAAACGUCCAGGGGUGGGACUUCAAGAACGUGACUGCACUGUGAGGGCUCUGGAGUCACAGCAGGCUCUCUCAAUCGAAUAGGUCACUGGGAGGUGGGAGCCAGCUGAAGGGAGCAUGCUACAAAAUAUCUUGGCAUCCCCAGCCCUGCCAUGGAUCUCCGAGAUCAGACUCCCUAGGAGGGAGGGGAGCUUAUCCUGCUACCCAGUAACUGUGAUGGCCGCCAAGGUUAAAGACUACCGCAUUCAAGGACGCAGGCACAGAAGCGUGCGUCUCUUUUUAUAACUACUGCCAGAAGGUACUGAGCUAUUGCUGGGAGGAGAACGGAGAUCUUUAGUGUGCUGGGACCGGAGUCUAGCACAGUCAUCAUCAAAGAGACCAGAGAGACCUCAUCCAGCUACUGAUGGGAGCAGAUGACAAGGACCACAGCCAAAGAAGUCAAGUUCAAACAGCCUCCCUCUACAGCCAGUGCCUCAGAAGAUCUUCCUGUCUCGAAGUCCAAACCACCAGAGAUCCUU